GACGAACGCUGGCGGCGCGCUUAAUACAUGCAAGUCGAGCGAGAACCAGAGCUUCGGCUCUGGGGACAGCGGCGAACGGGUGAGUAACACGUGAGUAAUCUGCCCUCGGCACCGGGAUAGCCCGGGGAAACCCGGAUUAAUACCGGAUGGCCUCUCGAGCCCUCGGGCUCGUGAGAAAAGGUAGCUUCGGCCUCUGGCCGAGGAGGAGCUCGCGGCGGAUUAGCUUGUUGGUGGGGUAACGGCUCACCAAGGCGACGAUCCGUAGCUGGUCUGAGAGGACGAUCAGCCACACUGGGACUGAGACACGGCCCAGACUCCUACGGGAGGCAG
This 330-nucleotide ribosomal RNA is filed under the name uncultured Actinomycetes bacterium. Its description in RNAcentral is "bacterial SSU rRNA". It matches the Rfam family "Bacterial small subunit ribosomal RNA", at positions 28 to 351 of the family's 1533-position model. The record is from RNAcentral. Lineage: Bacteria; Bacillati; Actinomycetota; Actinomycetes.